AGAGUUUGAUCAUGGCUCAGGAUGAACGCUAGCGGCAGGCAUAAUACAUGCAAGUCGAACGGGAAGCUGGAUAGCAAUAUUUGGCGGAGAGUGACGCACGGGUGCGUAACACGUAUGCAACCUACCCAAAACAGGAGGAUAGCUCGGGGAAACUCGAAUUAACCCUCCAUGGUAUCUGAUGAUGGCAUCAUCAACAGAUUAAAACUCCGGUGGUUUUGGAUGGGCAUGCGUCUGAUUAGUUAGUUGGCGGGGUAACGGCCCACCAAGACGAUGAUCAGUAGGGGAACUGAGAGGUUGAUCCCCCACACUGGCACUGAGAUACGGGCCAGACUCCUACGGGAGGCAGCAGUAGGGAAUAUUGGUCAAUGGGUGCAAGCCUGAACCAGCCAUGCCGCGUGCAGGAAGACGGCCUUCUGGGUUGUAAACUGCUUUUGCCAGGGGCUAAAAAGCUCAUGCGUGGGAAAUUGAAAGUACCUGGUGAAUAAGCCACGGCUAACUACGUGCCAGCAGCCGCGGUAAUACGUAGGUGGCGAGCGUUGUCCGGAUUUAUUGGGUUUAAAGGGUGCGUAGGCGGCUUUGUAAGUCAGUGGUGAAAUAUGUCAGCUCAACUGAGAGGGUGCCAUUGAUACUGCAGAGCUUGAGUACAGAUGAGGUAGGCGGAAUUGACGGUGUAGCGGUGAAAUGCUUAGAUAUCGUCAAGAACACCGAUAGCGAAGGCAGCUUACUAGGCUGUAACUGACGCUGAGGCACGAAAGUGUGGGGAUCAAACAGGAUUAGAUACCCUAGUAGUCC
RNAcentral lists this ribosomal RNA (792 nucleotides) under uncultured bacterium. Its description in RNAcentral is "bacterial SSU rRNA". It matches the Rfam family "Bacterial small subunit ribosomal RNA", at positions 8 to 796 of the family's 1533-position model. The record is from RNAcentral.